GUGCUCACUUUGGCAGCACAUAUACUAAAAUUGGAACAAUACAGAGAAGAUUAGCAUAGCCCCAUGUGCUAGGAUGACAUGCAAAUUCGUGAAGCAUUCCGUAUUUUA
Molecule: small nuclear RNA, 108 nt
Organism: Neogale vison (American mink)
Lineage: Eukaryota; Metazoa; Chordata; Mammalia; Carnivora; Mustelidae
Source: Ensembl